CCUACGGGGCGCAGCAGUAGGGAAUUUUCGUCAAUGGGCGCAAGCCUGAACGAGCGAUGCCGCGUGAGUGAAGAAGGCCUUCGGGUCGUAAAGCUCUGUUGCGGGGGAAAAAAGGCAGCAUCAGGAAAUGGGUGCUGACUGAUGGUGCCCCGCCAGAAAGUCACGGCUAACUACGUGCCAGCAGCCGCGGUAAUACGGAGGAUUCAAGCGUUAUCCGGAUUUAUUGGGUUUAAAGGGUGCGUAGGCGGUCGGAUAAGUUAGAGGUGAAAUCCCGAGGCUCAACUUCGGAAUUGCCUCUGAUACUG
This 305-nucleotide ribosomal RNA is filed under the name uncultured bacterium. Its description in RNAcentral is "bacterial SSU rRNA". It matches the Rfam family "Bacterial small subunit ribosomal RNA", at positions 338 to 635 of the family's 1533-position model. The record is from RNAcentral.